AGAGGGGGAAAAAAGGCCAAAAAAAAAAAAAAAAAGGAGAAAGAAAAAAAAAAGAGGAAAAAGGGGACAAAACCCCCGACAACGCGGCCCGUACGCCCAGCCUGGCGACCGGCAAGCGGCAAGAAUGAAUGUCCCCGCGGGGCGGCUUCGGCGGCGGCGCGCGGGUCAGCGGCGACGGGAGAGUGGCGCGCUCGCCGAGAGGCGGCCAGUCUGGUCCAGGAUCCCGGUGGAACUGCUGCGAGGCCGCCUCGUCAGCACCCGCGUCCUCUGAGCACGUCCAGUGUCCCCAGCCUGGCGAUCAGGUACCGAACAGCGCAACUCCGAAAUGCUGCGGCUCCCGCCUGUUUCUGAGACGGCGAGUUGUAGUUGUCCUACACCCGGGGGGACGCACACUCGCUGCUGCAAUUGAUUACGGAAAAACCAUGACAGGUUUCUGAGAGGACACAGUGGAGGACGGAAGCCCUGGGAUGGAAAUUUCAGAAAAGCAGCUGCUAGUCCCAGAAAAAACUAAAGCUGUGUGCUCACUGGCAAAGAAAGAAGAGAACUCAGUCAAUUAUUUGGAUAAUAUGAGAUAAGCCUGUACUGCACAACACACACAAGGACACAAGGCUGCUCCAGGUGAAAGUGUUUUAUUCUCUUGACUAAAUUUGCCGCCCUCCCCAGUGCCCUUCCUGCCCCCACAUCACUGUCUGCAGGUGCAGACAGACCCAGAAUAGAACUGUAGCACUGGAAGGAUUUUUAGAGAUCAUCUAUUCCAUAACCUUCAUUUGACUUGACAGAUGAGAAAAAUGAGCCCAGAGAGACAAAGCAACUUGUUAAGGAUUAGACAACUAGUUGGUGGGGGCCUCUGUGCUACAAUCCUGGUCUCCUCACUCAAAGCAACAUUUCCACCACCACCCAGGCUUCUUGAAACCUGAACAAGAUGCACUGUCUAGGGUUGGGUGAAGUGAUGCCCUCAAAAUGAGCUAAAUCACAAUCUGAGUCUUGGGGAUGCUUUUUAUAUUCCCUGCCCCCACCUACUUGCUUCCAGUCACUGCAACAAAAAGCAGGAUCCGAGGUGGCAGAGACUGCUUUCCUUUUCCAUCUUCACUUUCUAUUUCAGAAAGAAGUAGGAGGGGACGACAUGCUGGCAGAAAAAUCUGAGAUCAUCCUAGAUUAUGAGCGGUUUGGGGACAGCAUGACUUAAUGUCUGAGACACCGUUUUAAGAAGGACUGCAUCAGAAGAGAUGAUACAACCAAAAUUAAGUUUCUGUAACAAUGAAUCAGGGUACCUGAUGACAAUAACUGUUUCAAAGCAGGAAUACUUAGCAUUUACACAGCAACUUUCAACUCCAAUGAAAGUUGCCAGUGGUGAUGAAUUCAAUCUCAUUGAAUUGUCAUUAUUCCCAUUUCACAGAAAAUAGUUGGGGCACUAGGGAAGCCUGGAAAUAAGAACCAAAGGACCCGGUGCAGUGGCUCACGCCUGUAAUCCCAGCACUUUGGGAGGCUGAGGAGGGUGGAUCACGAGGUCGAGAGAUGGAGAACAUCCUGGACAAUAUAGUGAAACCCCAUCUGUACUAAAAAUACCAGUGGCGUGCGCCUGUAGUCCCAGCUACCUGGGAGGCUGAGGCACGGGAAUCUCCUGAACCUGGGAGCUGGAGGUUGCAGUGAGCUGAGAUCAUGCCACUGCACUCCAGCCUGGUGACAGAGCAAAACUCCAUCUCAAAAGAAAAAAAAAAAAAGAACAAAAACAAAAUAACAAAAAUUAAUCAAUACAUCCAGAUUUUAUUUUUACCAAUUAUAGCUAGAGUAUUAGCCAAUUUAUAGACAACUAAAUUUUAAAUUAUUCUGUCUACAUUUCAAGCAAACAAUCCCAUAGGCCUCCAUUUCUCAACUUAGCAUUUUGUACCAAGAAACUGUUUCAUCGAUUAUGUAUACAUUUUGUACUUGGAAACAUCAUACAAUUUUAGAGUUAAAGGAACCCACUAACUCUAUAGGCUCACUCAUUCAACCAAUCAAAAAAACAUGGGUUUUGGAGUUAGUCAAGAUGCCUGAUUUAAAUAUCCAUACCCCAGGUCCCUUACCUGCUAAGCAUGUGGCUUUAUUUAGCAGGUCAGUUUCCUUCUCUGUGUCUCAUUAGUCUAUCUGCAAAAUAAGGUUAGCUCUGAUACUGUAGGACUGUAUGUAACAAAAGUGCUUAAAACAGUGCUUGACACAUAGUAAACACUGUGAACAAAUAUUGGCCAUUAGUGUCGUUGACCAUCUCUUAUGGAGCCACAGAACCAGAGUUGAUUGUGUUAAAUAGAACCAGAGAUACCAAGAAGGAUCUAAGAGUCAGCCAGGGGAACUGAUUGGUCCAGGUACUACAUGGCAGAGCUUGAUUGGCUUCAUAGUGAUUCAAUUCUGUAAAACAGUAAUGAACAGCUUGUACUUAUUAAGGACUUACUGACUAGCAUUAUCUCAUUUACUUCUCAUAACAGCAAUUUGAGAAAAGAACAAUUAUGUAUACCUAUUGUGUUGAAUUAAAAAUAGCCAUAAAUCUUUUGCCAUACUUCCCAUCAAGAGGUAGAGUCUAUUCCCUUUUGCUGAAUUAGAUGGAGCUUUGUGACAUGCUGUAAUCAAUAAAAUGAAGUGGAUGUUGUGCUUGUUCAGACUGGGCUAGGUUUUAAAGAGGCCUGGUAGUUUUUGUUCUUACUCUCACAUAGAACCCAGCUGCUGUGCUGUAAGGAAGGCAGUCUGGACUGCUAGAGGAAAAGAGAUUACUUAAGGAAUUGAAGCACCCCAGCUGACAGCACCAACUUCAAGUCACGUUAAUGAGACCAUAUUAGAUAUUCCAUUUCCAACUGAUUUCAGCCUUAUGAGGGAUCAUGAUAAUGCCAUGUAAGGCAGGGAUGAGCCACCCAUGCUGAGCCCUGUCCAAAUAGAAUCUUGAGAGAAAACACGAGGUUUUUGCUUUAAGCUACUAAGCUUUGGGUAGGUUUAUUAAACAGCAAUAGGUAACUGAAACACCCAGAUUGUGGAUGAAAAACGGAGGCUCAGAAAGGCUAAGCAACUUGUCCAUGGUUUAGGAGCUAGGAAGCAGCACAACCUGUAUUCAAACCCAGGACCAUCUGACACCAAAAUCCAUAAUCAUAACUGGCGAACUACAUAGUGCCUCCUACAGAAUAACCAAAUUCUGAAGAAUAAUUCACAAAGUAAAUUUUUGUUCCUUCCUUAUUCCAGACAUUACCUAAUGUAGGUUGGACUAAUAAAUAGCAAGACACGUCAGUCUUAAGACCAUAAAGAAUAAAAAUGUUAGAGUUAGAAAUGAAGCAAAAAUGAUCUCUGCCAAGAUCUCACUUCUUGAAAUUGAAAGAAGGUAUCUCACUGGAAGGUGGGUACAGAGCUCUAAAUUUGUUUUCUGGUUUUCAAAAACAACGAUACAAAUAAACAUCUGUUCUCACCUUUAGGAAAUCAGAGAUACAUUAACGCUUAGGGUGGUGAAUGGAAAUUGACAACAGGUGAUUGGUUGGCUCUUUGAAAUUCUCCAGAUGAAUCAUUCUGGGAGAAAAAAAAAAGGUAGGUUGAUUUUAUUACAACAUUUUCUGGGUCACAAAGAACUUUGAGGUUUU
This is a long non-coding RNA of Callithrix jacchus (white-tufted-ear marmoset), 3590 nucleotides long. Lineage: Eukaryota; Metazoa; Chordata; Mammalia; Primates; Cebidae. The record is from Ensembl.